Long non-coding RNA from Gossypium arboreum, 561 nucleotides. RefSeq lists it as uncharacterized. The transcript is spliced from 2 exons. Lineage: Eukaryota; Viridiplantae; Streptophyta; Magnoliopsida; Malvales; Malvaceae. The record is from RefSeq and is a predicted model, not a curated record.
AAAUGCUCUUAGGUUCUUAUAUGGAAAUGUUGCAAACCCUCCACCAGUGGGGAUUCUGAUUCAGUAAGGACAUCUUAUACCACUACAGCUCUUGGGGUUUCAGCUCUUGCCCAUGAUCACUUCAACUUUGAAACCACAUCCCAAGAAAUGAUUAUUUUUGUUUGUUCUCUUUGUUGAUCUUUUUGAGCUGAAAAAAGCUUAUCUGUUUGUUUAAAAUUGGAAACUGGUUUCUUCUAGGUCCCUGAAGAUCUCAGUGAGCAUGUUGUAUCAUCAAGGAAGGCUCAAGUUAAAUGGUAUGGGAAGCUAUUGCAAGCAUGGAAAGAAGCAAAACCCCCACCAAAAACACCUGAAGAGGUUGCUAGGCUUAUUGUUGAGACCUUGAGCAGACAUCAAAAGGCAGAUGUUAAGGUAUAAAAAAGGCCCAUAACAUCAAAAAGAUUAGUUAUGUACUGAUGUUAAUGGUAUUGCAGUGAUUUUUUUUUUUUGUGUUCUAAUGUACUACUGUGAUUCGAGAUUGUUAACCAUUGUGUAUCUGCAGGGUCAUACACAUUGUUUUUGAAA